This 258-nucleotide ribosomal RNA is filed under the name uncultured Campylobacterota bacterium. Its description in RNAcentral is "uncultured Epsilonproteobacteria bacterium partial 16S ribosomal RNA". It matches the Rfam family "Bacterial small subunit ribosomal RNA", at positions 234 to 509 of the family's 1533-position model. The record is from RNAcentral. Lineage: Bacteria; Pseudomonadati; Campylobacterota.
UACGGUAUCAGAUAGUUGGUGGGGUAAAGGCCUACCAAGUCUACGACGCUUAACUGGUCUGAGAGGAUGAUCAGUCACACUGGAACUGAGACACGGUCCAGACUCCUACGGGAGGCAGCAGUAGGGAAUCUUCCACAAUGGACGAAAGUCUGAUGCAGCAACGCCGCGUGGAGGAUGAAGGUCUUCGGGUCGUAAACUCCUUUUAUAAGUGAAGAAUAUGACGGUAGCUUAUGAAUAAGCACCGGCUAACUACGUGCC